RNAcentral lists this ribosomal RNA (252 nucleotides) under uncultured bacterium. RNAcentral describes it as "partial 16S ribosomal RNA". It matches the Rfam family "Bacterial small subunit ribosomal RNA", at positions 525 to 776 of the family's 1533-position model. The record is from RNAcentral.
ACGGAGGGUGCAAGCGUUACUCGGAAUUACUGGGCGUAAAGGGUCCGUAGGCGGCUUGGAAAGUUGGAUGUGAAAUCCCACAGCUUAACUGUGGAACUGCGUCCAAAACUAUCAAGCUUGAGGAUGGUAGGGGACAGUGGAACUCAAGGUGGAGCGGUGAAAUGCGUAGAGAUCUUGAGGAACACCGGUGGCGAAAGCGACUGUCUGGGCCAUUCCUGACGCUGAGGGACGAAAGCUAGGGGAGCAAACGGG